RNAcentral lists this ribosomal RNA (1976 nucleotides) under Salmonella enterica subsp. enterica. RNAcentral describes it as "partial 23S ribosomal RNA". It matches the Rfam family "Bacterial large subunit ribosomal RNA", at positions 1 to 1905 of the family's 2925-position model. The record is from RNAcentral. Lineage: Bacteria; Pseudomonadati; Pseudomonadota; Gammaproteobacteria; Enterobacterales; Enterobacteriaceae.
GGGUUGUGAGGUUAAGCGACUAAGCGUACACGGUGGAUGCCCUGGCAGUCAGAGGCGAUGAAGGACGUGCUAAUCUGCGAUAAGCGCCGGUAAGGUGAUAUGAACCGUUAUAACCGGCGAUUUCCGAAUGGGGAAACCCAGUGUGAUUCGUCACACUAUCAUUAACUGAAUCCAUAGGUUAAUGAGGCGAACCGGGGGAACUGAAACAUCUAAGUACCCCGAGGAAAAGAAAUCAACCGAGAUUCCCCCAGUAGCGGCGAGCGAACGGGGAGGAGCCCAGAGCCUGAAUCAGCAUGUGUGUUAGUGGAAGCGUCUGGAAAGGCGCGCGAUACAGGGUGACAGCCCCGUACACAAAAGCGCAUGUGCUGUGAGCUCGAUGAGUAGGGCGGGACACGUGGUAUCCUGUCUGAAUAUGGGGGGACCAUCCUCCAAGGCUAAAUACUCCUGACUGACCGAUAGUGAACCAGUACCGUGAGGGAAAGGCGAAAAGAACCCCGGCGAGGGGAGUGAAAAAGAACCUGAAACCGUGUACGUACAAGCAGUGGGAGCACAGGUUUACCUGUGUGACUGCGUACCUUUUGUAUAAUGGGUCAGCGACUUAUAUUCUGUAGCAAGGUUAACCGUAUAGGGGAGCCGGAGGGAAACCGAGUCUUAAUUGGGCGUUAAGUUGCAGGGUAUAGACCCGAAACCCGGUGAUCUAGCCAUGGGCAGGUUGAAGGUUGGGUAACACUAACUGGAGGACCGAACCGACUAAUGUUGAAAAAUUAGCGGAUGACCUGUGGCUGGGGGUGAAAGGCCAAUCAAACCGGGAGAUAGCUGGUUCUCCCCGAAAGCUAUUUAGGUAGCGCCUCGUGAAUUCAUCUCCGGGGGUAGAGCACUGUUUCGGCUAGGGGGCCAUCCCGGCUUACCAACCCGAUGCAAACUGCGAAUACCGGAGAAUGUUAUCACGGGAGACACACGGCGGGUGCUAACGUCCGUCGUGAAGAGGGAAACAACCCAGACCGCCAGCUAAGGUCCCAAAGUCAUGGUUAAGUGGGAAACGAUGUGGGAAGGCCCAGACAGCCAGGAUGUUGGCUUAGAAGCAGCCAUCAUUUAAAGAAAGCGUAAUAGCUCACUGGUCGAGUCGGCCUGCGCGGAAGAUGUAACGGGGCUAAACCAUGCACCGAAGCUGCGGCAGCGAACGUAUCACCCAAGACAACUUUACGGAGUUGACGAUUGACGGAGCGAAGCGACGUCAAAGCGUUCAUUAAAGUCGAGUUGGCUUAGGGAUACGUUCGUUGGGUAGGGGAGCGUUCUGUAAGCCUGUGAAGGUGUGUCGUGAGGCAUGCUGGAGGUAUCAGAAGUGCGAAUGCUGACAUAAGUAACGAUAAAGCGGGUGAAAAGCCCGCUCGCCGGAAGACCAAGGGUUCCUGUCCAACGUUAAUCGGGGCAGGGUGAGUCGACCCCUAAGGCGAGGCCGAAAGGCGUAGUCGAUGGGAAACGGGUUAAUAUUCCCGUACUUGGUGUUACUGCGAAGGGGGGACGGAGAAGGCUAUGUUGGCCGGGCGACGGUUGUCCCGGUUUAAGCGUGUAGGUGUGUGUUCCAGGUAAAUCCGGUUCACUUUAACACUGAGGCGUGACGACGAGGCACUACGGUGCUGAAGCAACAAAUGCCCUGCUUCCAGGAAAAGCCUCUAAGCAUCAGGUAACACGAAAUCGUACCCCAAACCGACACAGGUGGUCAGGUAGAGAAUACCAAGGCGCUUGAGAGAACUCGGGUGAAGGAACUAGGCAAAAUGGUGCCGUAACUUCGGGAGAAGGCACGCUGACACGUAGGUGAAGUGAUUUACUCAUGGAGCUGAAGUCAGUCGAAGAUACCAGCUGGCUGCAACUGUUUAUUAAAAACACAGCACUGUGCAAACACGAAAGUGGACGUAUACGGUGUGACGCCUGCCCGGUGCCGGAAGGUUAAUUGAUGGGGUCAGCGCAAGCGAAGC